This 1151-nucleotide long non-coding RNA is filed under the name Sus scrofa (pig). RNAcentral's name for it is "lncRNA (ENSSSCG00065043067.1)". Lineage: Eukaryota; Metazoa; Chordata; Mammalia; Artiodactyla; Suidae. The record is from RNAcentral.
AAAGUCAAGGAAUUGAGAUACCAGUGUAUGAGGUCACACAGGAUGAGAAAAGGAUUUAUGGUGAGAUAAGACCUUAAAAAAGUCUUGUUGCCUCUAUGAUUUCAGGAGUCCUUAAGUCUUCAGUGAAGGAGGUGCGUUGAUAGAAGAAACGAAGACAGGGAAAUCGGUCUGUAGCUUAGAGGAAUAGUGAUCUAGAAGUGGCCUUGGGAGAGCAGCCUCCCAGUCCUGGCCCUUGAUACAGUCUAGGAGGCUAGGCAGGUGCAGCAGACCUGGAAAUGGCCAGGUUUCAGUUCAGAUAAGGUCAAGGCAAGGAAAUGAAAAUGGCUGUUCAGAAAAGAGGCUGAGGGUAUGGGCAAUUCGUGGUCUCUGGAUUUCCAGAGGCCAGUUGAGGGUGUAGGAGGGUGGGAAGAGUGACCAUUGGCAGAGUUGGGUACCUGGGGAGAUGAUGUCAUGCCAUGGUGGUCUGUGCCAUUAGUGCCCAGGGAACCAUGCCUCCUUUUAUCAUUUCCUUAUGUAAUCCUUUCCCUUGAAUUUGAUCUGAGUCUGUGACUUGCUUUAACCAGACUCUGGCAGAGUUCCUGUCGUGGCUCAGUGGUUAACGAAUAUGACUAGGAACCAUGAGGUUGUGGGUUCGAUCCCUGGCCUCGCUCAGUGGGUUAAGGAUCCGGUGUUGCUGUGAGCUGUGGUGUAGGUUGCAGACACAGCUUGGAUCCAGCAUUGCUGUGGCUCUGGCGUAGGCUGGCAGCUGCAGCUCCGAUGAGACCCCAGCCUGGGAACCUCCAUAUGCCGCAGGUGUGGCCCUAGAAAAGACAAAAAGACCUAAAUAAAUAAAUAAACAAACAAAUAAAUUAAUUAAUAAAAUAAAAGGACUGUGGCUUCCCAAGCUUUUACUCUCAUGAAAGCCCUAAGAUGCCACUAAAGGACUCUGGCUUCCCUGUUGGAGAGACUACAUGGAGAGACCACAUGGAAAGUCCACAUGGAGAGGGAGAACCCUUAAUCCUACCUGGAUACAGGGGUUGGUGGGGGGAUGAGGGAGGAGGGAGAAGCCCAGCCAUCAGCGAAUCGGCCAGCUGAAUGUAGCCACCCAGUGACCUUGAGCAAGAUCAACAGAAGAGCUGUUCAGCCAAGCUUAGCUCAUAUUGCGUAAUAAU